Molecule: small RNA, 27 nt
Filed under: Arabidopsis thaliana (thale cress)
Lineage: Eukaryota; Viridiplantae; Streptophyta; Magnoliopsida; Brassicales; Brassicaceae
Description: ATSL188600
Source: RNAcentral
UGGAGAUUUGUAGCCUUUUCUUAGUAA